GGCGCCGCCUCCUCCGGCCACCAUGGCUCAAGAUUCUUGGGGGGUUUUGCUUGUCUCAGUCCCAGCAACAUUCCCACAAAAGGAAUCGAGCCAAAUCGAAGUGUGACUGACGAAACGAGUGAGGAAAUUACUUUCAGGGUCGUGGAAGUUGCACGCAGGAAAGAAGUGGAUAACUCCGCAGGUGUGGAUUAGCGGGAAUUGAC
Long non-coding RNA from Argentina anserina (silverweed cinquefoil), 203 nucleotides. RefSeq lists it as uncharacterized. The transcript is spliced from 3 exons. Lineage: Eukaryota; Viridiplantae; Streptophyta; Magnoliopsida; Rosales; Rosaceae. The record is from RefSeq and is a predicted model, not a curated record.